UACGUAGGGUGCAAGCGUUGUCCGGAGUUAUUGGGCGUAAAGCGCACGUAGGCGGUGCGGUAAGUGUGGUGUGAAAUCUGCGGGCUUAACUCGCAGCGGUCGCUGCAGACUGCCGUGCUUGAGGGCUGGAGAGGAAGAUGGAAUUCCCGGUGUAGUGGUGAAAUGCGUAGAUAUCGGGAGGAACACCAGUGGCGAAGGCGGUCUUCUGGCCAGUUUCUGACGCUGAGGUGCGAAAGCUAGGGGAGCGAACGGG
RNAcentral lists this ribosomal RNA (253 nucleotides) under uncultured bacterium. RNAcentral's name for it is "partial 16S ribosomal RNA". It matches the Rfam family "Bacterial small subunit ribosomal RNA", at positions 524 to 776 of the family's 1533-position model. The record is from RNAcentral.